GUCGAGCGAUGAAACUUUAACAGAACCCUUCGGGGCGAAGAUAAAGUGGAUUAGCGGCGGACGGGUGAGUAACACGUGAGUAACCUGCCUUAGACAUUGGGAUAGCCUCGGGAAACCGGGAUUAAUACCAAAUAAAAUCAUAAUGACACAUGUCAUAACGAUCAAAACUCCGGUGGUCUAAGAUGGACUCGCGUCCCAUUAGCUAGUUGGUAGAGUAAAAGCCUACCAAGGCGACGAUGGGUAGCCGGCCUGAGAGGGUGAACGGCCACAUUGGAACUGAGAAACGGUCCAAACUCCUACGGGAGGCAGCAGUGGGGAAUAUUGCACAAUGGAGGGAACUCUGAUGCAGCGACGCCGCGUGAACGAAGAAGGCUUUCGAGUCGUAAAGUUCUUUUAUAUGGGAAGAUAAUGACGGUACCAUAAGAAAAAGCCCCGGCUAACUACGUGCCAGCAGCCGCGGUAAUACGUAGGGGGCUAGCGUUGUCCGGAAUCACUGGGCGUAAAGGGUUCGCAGGCGGAAAUGCAAGUCAGAUGUAAAAGGCAGUAGCUUAACUACUGUAAGCAUUUGAAACUGCAUAUCUUGAGAAGAGUAGAGGUAAGUGGAAUUUUUAGUGUAGCGGUGAAAUGCGUAGGUAUUAAAAAGAAUACCGGUGGCGAAGGCGACUUACUGG
RNAcentral lists this ribosomal RNA (671 nucleotides) under uncultured Eubacteriales bacterium. RNAcentral's name for it is "bacterial SSU rRNA". It matches the Rfam family "Bacterial small subunit ribosomal RNA", at positions 61 to 732 of the family's 1533-position model. Lineage: Bacteria; Bacillati; Bacillota; Clostridia; Eubacteriales. The record is from RNAcentral.